This 492-nucleotide ribosomal RNA is filed under the name Triticum aestivum (bread wheat). RNAcentral describes it as "partial small subunit ribosomal RNA". Lineage: Eukaryota; Viridiplantae; Streptophyta; Magnoliopsida; Poales; Poaceae. The record is from RNAcentral.
AUGAGUUCUUAUCUCGUCUCCGCUCUGUGUUUGAGCCCAGGAGGGCUCACUUGCUUGCUCGUGGUUGUGUUCCUCUCUCGGAGGUGCUUGCCGAGCUUCGUGCUAAGGAGACUCGCCUUCGCUCUGCUGGGUUGCUGGUGGUUCCGUCUGUGUUGGCUGCUCGGGCUCCUGUGUCGUCUGCUCGGCUCACCGCUCCACUGCUCCUACCCACACCUUCGGGGGGUGGGUCGCCCUCCUUAUGCUGAGAGGGGCCGGUUGCGCCGUGACACCUUCUGUGGCUACUGCUCUCGGCCAGGUCAUCCAGAGUCUGAUUGUCGUGAGAAGAAGCGAGACCAGAGGCGCUCCUCUUCCAGUGGGACUCCUGGAUUUUCCUCGACUCCGUCACUCACUGACCAGGACAUUCUGAGGCUCAAGCAUCUCUUGGCUUCCCCGGGCUCUUCGUCGACCGGUUCCACUGCUGCGGUGACUACAUCCACUUCUUCACCACCGUAG